AUACGUAGGGUGCGAGCGUUGUCCGGAAUUACUGGGCGUAAAGAGCUCGUAGGUGGUUUGUCGCGUCGUCUGUGACAUUCCGGGGCUUAACUCCGGGCGUGCAGGCGAUACGGGCAUAACUUGAGUACUGUAGGGGAGACUGGCAUUCCUGGUGUAGCGGUGAAAUGCGCAGAUAUCAGGAGGAACCCCGGUGGCGAAGGCGGGUCUCUGGGCAGUAACUGACGCUGAGGAGCGAAAGCAUGGGUAGCGAACAGGAUUAGAUACCCUGGUAGUCCAUGCCGUAAACGGUGGGCGCUAGGUGUAGGGGUCUUCCACGACUUCUGUGCCGUAGCUAACGCAUUAAGCGCCCCGCCUGGGGAGUACGGCCGCAAGGCUAAAACUCAAAGGAAUUGACGGGG
Molecule: ribosomal RNA, 398 nt
Filed under: uncultured bacterium
Lineage: Bacteria
Description: partial 16S ribosomal RNA
Rfam family: Bacterial small subunit ribosomal RNA
Source: RNAcentral